This is a non-coding RNA of Acetobacterium wieringae, 189 nucleotides long. The record is from Rfam. Lineage: Bacteria; Bacillati; Bacillota; Clostridia; Eubacteriales; Eubacteriaceae.
UCGUGUAGAAUGAAUUCAAUUAAAUAGUGAACUUGUCCUAUAUUCAAGGGAAAAAGGUGUAAAUCCUUUGCUGUAAUCGCAGCUGUAAAACAUGAUGACCGUCUCAUAGCCACUGUUAAGAAAUUAGCGGGAAGGGAGAUGGAAAGUUGAUUGUUGAGCCAGAAGACCUGUUUGUAGUGAUUUCUUAAC